Molecule: ribosomal RNA, 482 nt
Filed under: uncultured bacterium
Lineage: Bacteria
Description: partial 16S ribosomal RNA
Rfam family: Bacterial small subunit ribosomal RNA
Source: RNAcentral
AUUGAACGCUGGCGGCAUGCUUUACACAUGCAAGUCGAACGGUAACAGGCCGCAAGGUGCUGACGAGUGGCGAACGGGUGAGUAAUGCAUCGGAACGUGCCCAGUCGUGGGGGAUAACUACUCGAAAGAGUAGCUAAUACCGCAUACGAUCUAUGGAUGAAAGCGGGGGACCGUAAGGCCUCGCGCGAUUGGAGCGGCCGAUGUCAGAUUAGGUAGUUGGUGGGGUAAAGGCUCACCAAGCCAACGAUCUGUAGCUGGUCUGAGAGGACGACCAGCCACACUGGGACUGAGACACGGCCCAGACUCCUACGGGAGGCGGCAGUGGGGAAUUUUGGACAAUGGGCGCAAGCCUGAUCCAGCAAUGCCGCGUGCAGGAAGAAGGCCUUCGGGUUGUAAACUGCUUUUGUACGGAACGAAACGGCUCUGGUUAAUACCCGGGGCUAAUGACGGUACCGUAAGAAUAAGCACCGGCUAACUACGUG